CCGCGCGCGGGACAUAGUCCCUCCUUCUUUUCCGGAUCAAGAAGAGCAGGAGUGGAGUGACGGAUACUCGUAUCUCAUCGCAAUACAGGCGUGGAGGCGGUCCACCUGCGUCCGUACGACUCAGUCGGAACUCUGCCUGUUUUUGAUGCGAACGAAUUGAGCAGAACUUGCUUGGUGUAGAUAAUGGUUGAGAAGACCCACUUCUAUUUCUCCUGAACCUAAUAUAAUACUGACACAGCGUUGGUGGUCAGUGACCAUUUAUUGGAUGGAUAGGCUAAAGUCCUGGUGGAGUGCCCAAGACCAGAACACUGGGGAGAAACCCUCUGAACUCCUGUCCACACUCCUGUCCACAGUGCAGGUCAGGCCUCAGGAGUGUGUGAAGUAGAAAGUCUCAGUGAGUGAAAACUGGAAGACCUGCCCCUGUGACCCAUGGUCUCUCCACCCAGCUGUGCACACAGAGGCAGGGAUUAAAGGAAACAAAAGAAACAAGCGGCAGGGCUGUUUCAAGAUUUAUUGAAGUGGGUGAGAGGACAAGAUGCCCAGCAGAGACGCCUCCAACAGGAACUCCUGGCUCUAAAAGUUACACCAGGAGCAGAGAGGGGGACAUGGAGGCCACUGGAGGACCUGGUCCAGAUGGAAGGAAACCAGUCUUCUGGGUCUGCUGUGCCCUGUGGCACCUGCUAGGGGGCAGGGGCAGAGCCAGCUGAAGGUCUCCAGCUGUGAAUCCCAAGGUCCCAAGGUCUCAGGCCUUACCCAGGCCCCUGACCUGGUCACAUGGGGCCAAGCCCUUCCAUACUGUGCUGAGGCAACAGGAGAAGAAGGUCUGGCGGUGGUCAUGCAGCAACACCCCUCUUCAGUCUGCUACGCAAGUGGCUGUGAUCAGACCCAGAACAACCUAAAGGAGGAAAUCAGAUGAGGCUGGCAGCUUGCAACGUCUGUCUCAGAAACAGAGGCCGACUUAGCCCCUUGGCAGUAACUCACCAUGAGGAGGCUCCUCCAGGGAAGCUGGAACCCGGGUCACCAUCCUGAGAGGCCAGUGUUCCCAUCCCCGAGGUGUCCUCCAAGGCAGCACCCCCAGCAUGAUGGGGAGGUCAACAGGGCAGGAGGUCACGACAAGGGUUUGCUCUCCGAUGUUACCUUGCCUUUCUUCAAGCCAACAUCUGUGAGAAUGCCCCCAAAUAGUCAGGGAUGCGCUGCAGCGUUUUUCACACCAAACUCAGCUCAAAAAGGAAAUCCCAAAGCUCCCAGAGAAGAAUCCAAAGGAACACUGUCUUUUAAAAAAUGCACCUUCUGAGGGCAACCGAGCAAAUGUAGGAACUGGCAGAGAGAUGGCUGGAGAGCCUGCUCUCAGGAGCUCCUCCGACUCGGUCCACCCACACUGUAUGUCAGAGGGGGACCGCCACGGCCCAGCAGCCCUCCCCCCACACCUUCAUUACCUGCCUGCACACCUGACUCCCAGGUGCGCACACUCACCCUGGCCUCAGAUCAUCCUCAUGUUCCUCCCCUCCCCCCGAAGUCCCUCCUGGGGUCUAUCACGUCUCAGUCCUUCCAAGGCCGGUCCACCACCUCCUCCAAACAGCUGCUCCCCUUGACAAUCUUACAGCAGUCCCCGAACACCCCCCGACAUCACUCAUAUUCAUUAUGCGUAAUGCAGCCUGGCUCCUUACACCCCCUAACAUCUUGAAGCCUGACACGGACAUGGCCUGGCUCUGGUAACAGGAGGCCAUGCUGAGACAUCAGUGCCCAUCACAAAGGAGCCCCCAGCGCCUGAGGGGGAAGCUCGGGCUGGAAAGGAGCAGAGGUGUGGGAAAGCGCCAGCAUUUGAAAGGGACAGGUGCGGACCCUCCAAACUCGGGAAAUUGCUUUCCACAACUUCUCUCCCUGCAUUGUCAACGACCAGAGCACGGACAGCCCGUGGUCUCUUUUGAAUGCAGGUGCAUACGGGGCAGAGAGCACUCUGGGAAGAGAAGGCCAACACAGGGCAGAAGCACUGGGAAAAUACUACAACUGGAGGUUACAGGACUCACGUGGUCUUAGGCACCACAGAGUCACCUCCAACGUAGCUGUGGUUUUUCAAAUGAUGGAAACAAGGUUCUGAAUAGGAUGCUGACUGAGACGGCGGUCAAAGGAGACUCAAGCCCAGGGGCGGAAUCUCUGGCGCCCAGGUUCACGUGCUUCUGCCCACACUCCGGGGAGGAGGGCAGAUACCCCAUAACUCUCAGUGCCCUAAUGGGACUCAAGAGGUGCCAUCCUGCAGCAGCCGCUGAAGACAGUGAUGCGCCAGAUGUGACCCAGGCUGCCUGGGGCUGGGGUGGUGAGUGGACCUGGGGACUCGUGGAUGCUGCCUUCAUUCCACCUCUCAGCUCCCCUACAUCUUCACCCAAAGCCCCCGGGGACACACGUACGACCACUGUGUGGGAGGACCCAACACUCUACAGAGAAUGGAUCAGAGAUCUUACCUCAAGGACAGCACGGUCUAGAAUGCUCCUGACAUGACAGCUUCCAUGACGCCUCUGCACGCAGUGGACUCGUCUGGAACAGACCAGAAGCAAAGGGUGAGCACUCGACUUACCCCUGCUCACAGGAGGGCAAAGGCACCAGGAAAGGGCUUAGCACUAGAGUUACCAGACAGUAAACAUCCCCCAAGUGUCAGCUAUUGUUAUUUCCUGAAAAGACAUGCUAUUUCUUCACACAAAAAACAAUAGUUAACUCUGAAGAAGGAGACAGUGGAUGCUCUGUGGCAGGGUGCCAAUGCCGAUGGAUGUGUAAUUGAUCAGGGACAGGCAGAAAAGGAUGUCAUCGCCAGAUUUAUGGGAAUGUGCCAUGGCCGACUGACAGCAACUGAAGCAACACAUCAAAGGAGCCUGUUUCCCAACAGCAGGAGCCAGAAGGACACACCCCAGCAAUGACACUAACACACCCCAACAGACAUGAGGCCCUGGAGGCCCAAGGGGUGGGCAGAAGAGACACAGAAGUGUAGAAAUCUCCCAGAACUAGGGAGCGAGGGUGCGAGACAGCCCUACUGCGUUUCCUCUGUCUGCACUACCAAUAAGCAAGCCACGGGCAGCCCAGCAUCACUUCCAAGUGCAGCAGCAGCAAAGGACAGAGGGCUUACUGAAAAAGGAGGCCAGUGGCAGAGGCUCAGAGCAGUCAGCCGAGUUGAGCUUGAGAACCCAGUAUCUGCUUCUAGUCCUGCUAAAAAGCCUUCCACAUGGCCCAGAAGGGACAGACAAAGGGAGGACACCUCUGAAAGAAAAGUGACGGAGGUCUUAGGUUGUAACAGCCAGGGAUGACGUGAGCCGGAGACAAAUAGCCUCACUGCAGUCCUGCUUUCUGGAGGAUGAAACCAGAGACAGGAGAAGGUCCCAGAGUCAGGAGGAGACAGAGAAGUGACACACGAGUACAGGUGGACAUGUCAGAAUCCUUUCCCUGCUCUACACAUUCUGCUGCCAAAGUGACAAUCUGAGGAAGGGCUCCCCAAGGCUCUCAGGACCAAGCACACAAAGAGGAACUGGGUGGUUCCUCAAAGACCCCGAGAGGGUGAAGCUGAGUGCGAGGACCAAGUCACCCUUGUCUCUCUUCUAUCUCUUCCCAGACCACACGGGGACCUCAUGCACCUUGUGGGGGGCAAAGCUCCAGAUCUCCAAGGAACAGGACUCACCUGGGCCAGCUGUCUCUUGACAGGAUGGGGACACCUCUCAGGGACCCCUGUGCACCGUGCUGCUUCCUCUGCAACGAUCAAGAAGCCCUGGAUGAGCAACCUGGAUGCCACCCGGUCACCACGUGUCCUGGAACCCAGAUGGAUGCCACCCGGUCACCACGUGUCCUGGAACCCAGGCAGAGCACCUGGGUUCUCGGAGACACUGGCUGCUUCACAAAUGUGGGCUGUGUUCCCAACCCACGAGCCACACCUUUUAUUCCCAGGACAGAAGUUCAUUACUCCACAUAGGACAACAGCUCAUCUGCAUCUGACACAGAGACGGCUUUUCAGAUCAUCUUUUGUGCAAACUCAGAUGACUCUGUACAGAGUCUGGAAGCUGGAUCCUGAAUAGAAAGAGAAGGUCCAGGACAGACUGGGCUCCGUCUCACGCCAAGGAACCUCCAGUGGGUAAAUACUGGUCAACAGGAAGAACAACUCCAAGAAAAGAAAACACAGGAAGUACCUCCACCUCUCCCCGGGCUGGCUGGCCACAAGCAGUCUUUCUCUGAUUCUCCGUGACAUGAUGGGCCACGCCACCUCACUGGGAUGUGUCUGUCCUGUCCUCUCCUGCUGGGCAAUUAUUCCACAGCUGCUGAGCACCAGACACCUGCCAGGCACUGAGCAGAUGACACUCAGAUACUGACCUUGAGAUCGGAGCAGAGAGAGGCAGGAAAGACAAGAAAACCCAUGAUUCCCAUGAAGUAUGAUUAGUGUCCUCACCACUCUCUAGACCGCAAGCUGGACUAAGGACCUGGAAACGGGGAAGAGGGGAGGUAGACCUGGCUUUCUAGAGGGAAGCUCCUGGUGAAAAUUACCCAGUGGCUCCACAACCAGCCCCAGCUUCUAAGAAACAGCCUGCUUUAUCUUCCUUUUUUUUUUUUAAAACACAUUAUUGACCAGAGACUUAUUAUUAAUACAUUUUUUUUACCCAAACAUUUUUGACCACCAAUGUAUCAAUAUCACUUCCAUAACAAAUCACUGGCACCAGACAUUAGUUUCCUGAAAACAUCCCCUGGUCAACAAUGAGUUAAAAGCUUCUCAGCAACUAGCACUGAGCCUGGCAUAGGGAGCGCUUAGUAAGCUUCACACCAGGUGCCAGGAGGCAGAUCUAAAAAGGCAGUAGGAGGGAGACAGUGUGUGACAGCUCCAGAGUUCAGAAGGGACAGGAGUGAACCCUCCAAACACAGGGAAAACGCUUUCAACAAUUCCUCUCCCUGCGCUAUAAAUGACCAAGGCACCGGCAGCCCACGAUCACUUUCGAAUGCAGGGGCAGAGAAGGGCAGAUGGGGAAUCAGGCAGAGGAGCCGGGUCAGCAGCCGGCUCUCCACCCAGGCAGGGGAAAGCUGCCCAGCCAGGCCCAGGACCCCAGGCACUAGCCUCACUUCCUGAAAAGGUUCCACCGCCCCCCAUCAAAAGAAGCCAGGGGAGACCAACUUCUGGUUUAAAAAAAAAAAAAAAGCCUCAAUUACUCAUCCACCCCACAAAUACCAACUGAGCACCCACUACAUGCCAAGUACUGUGAGUUCAAAUAAAAAGAACACAGACCAGGCCUCUGCCCUUCCGGAGUGAUUGCCAUUUUCCCCCUUGAAGGAAAGGAAAGCUCAGGAGAAUAAAGGAACUCACCCCAGGUUCCCCGGCUAAUGAGGGGCUGACUCAGGAUCCGAACUCAGGCCUUUCUGGCCCCCAAACCCACCCCCAUCCCCCUGCACA
Molecule: long non-coding RNA, 5410 nt
Organism: Bos taurus (domestic cattle)
Lineage: Eukaryota; Metazoa; Chordata; Mammalia; Artiodactyla; Bovidae
Source: Ensembl